AGAAUCAACGCUGGCGGCGUGCCUAACACAUGCAAGUCGCACGAGAAAGGGACUUCGGUCCUGAGUAAAGUGGCGCACGGGUGAGUAACACGUGAAUUAUCUACCUCCGAGUGGGGAAUAACUGAGAGAAAUCUUAGCUAAUACCGCAUAACACUUACGAGUCAAAGCAGCAAUGCGCUUGGAGAGGAGUUCGCGGCCGAUUAGUUAGUUGGCGGGGUAAUGGCCCACCAAGACGAUGAUCGGUAU
This 246-nucleotide ribosomal RNA is filed under the name uncultured bacterium. RNAcentral describes it as "partial small subunit ribosomal RNA". It matches the Rfam family "Bacterial small subunit ribosomal RNA", at positions 26 to 286 of the family's 1533-position model. The record is from RNAcentral.